RNAcentral lists this ribosomal RNA (499 nucleotides) under uncultured bacterium. RNAcentral describes it as "partial 16S ribosomal RNA". It matches the Rfam family "Bacterial small subunit ribosomal RNA", at positions 28 to 507 of the family's 1533-position model. The record is from RNAcentral.
GACGAACGCUGGCGGCGUGCCUAAUACAUGCAAGUCGAGCGAAGUUUUUCUGGUGCUUGCACUAGAAAAACUUAGCGGCGAACGGGUGAGUAACACGUAAAGAACCUGCCUCAUAGACUGGGACAACUAUUGGAAACGAUAGCUAAUACCGGAUAACAGCAUUAACUGCAUGGUUGAUGUUUAAAAGUUGGCUUUGCUAACACUAUGAGAUGGCUUUGCGGUGCAUUAGCUAGUUGGUGGGGUAAAGGCCUACCAAGGCGACGAUGCAUAGCCGACCUGAGAGGGUGAUCGGCCACACUGGGACUGAGACACGGCCCAGACUCCUACGGGAGGCAGCAGUAGGGAAUCUUCCGCAAUGGGCGAAAGCCUGACGGAGCAACGCCGCGUGAGUGAAGAAGGAUUUCGGUUCGUAAAGCUCUGUUGUUAGGGAAGAAUGAUUGUGUAGUAACUAUACACAGUAGAGACGGUACCUAACCAGAAAGCCACGGCUAACUACGUG